Molecule: long non-coding RNA, 388 nt
Organism: Hippoglossus stenolepis (Pacific halibut)
Lineage: Eukaryota; Metazoa; Chordata; Actinopteri; Pleuronectiformes; Pleuronectidae
Exons: 3
Source: RefSeq, a predicted model, not a curated record
UUGUGUACGGACUCCCGCGGCUCCUCGUGUCUCCUCCACAGACGGAAGUGAACCGUCCUGCUCAUCGUCUGAGGCGGGUUUCGAACCAUAUUCACUGUGUCCCUCUGUCAGUGAUUCACUUUGUUCACACGCGGUGUCUGGUGCUAGUUUAGCAGCUGUAGCUUCUCUCACGCCUCCUUCACUGAACAAGGUGCUUUUAUUCAAUUAGAUUCUGUGACUGAGCAACGAAGAACAAGGCUGAAGUGAGAGACAUGAGGCCCAGAGCUGGAGUGGAUGUGAGAGAGAAACCAGACGUUGGGCUUCAGUACGACUUCAAGGUAAUCCUGCCAUCACCGCUCCAUCUCCUCCACCACUGUGUGAUCAUGAUGUAGAUGAAAAAGAUGCAUAA